UUUUGAAGUAUCGGUGCACCAAGUGAAAAAUAAAAUUGCGACGCUUUAGUGACGCUGGAGA
This 61-nucleotide small RNA is filed under the name Caenorhabditis elegans. RNAcentral's name for it is "small nucleolar RNA K12D12.7". Lineage: Eukaryota; Metazoa; Nematoda; Chromadorea; Rhabditida; Rhabditidae. The record is from RNAcentral.